AAUCAGCUGCACCUUACUGGAUAAAAGAACCUACCAAUCUUGUGUUAUCCCCAGGAGAACAUGGUAAUUUGAUCUGCAGAGCUAAUGGCAAUCCCAAACCUAGUAUAAGCUGGUUAGCAAACGGAGUUCCCAUUGCAAUUGCUCCUGAGGAUGCUAGCAGAAGAGUAGAUGGUGAUACAAUUAUAUUCACUGAUGUACAAGAAAGUUCAAGUGCUGUUUAUCAGUGUAAUGCCUCUAACGAAUAUGGAUAUCUACUGGCAAAUGCAUUUGUGAAUGUUUUGGCUGUGGCACCAAGAAUUCUUACUCCUCCAAAUCAGCUCUACCAAGUCAUUGCAAAUAAACCUGCAUUGCUACACUGUGCAUUUUUUGGUUCACCUGUGCCUACAGUGGAAUGGUAA
Molecule: long non-coding RNA, 398 nt
Organism: Sphaerodactylus townsendi
Lineage: Eukaryota; Metazoa; Chordata; Lepidosauria; Squamata; Sphaerodactylidae
Exons: 3
Source: RefSeq, a predicted model, not a curated record